CCUACGGGGUGCAGCAGUGAGGAAUAUUGGUCAAUGGACGAGAGUCUGAACCAGCCAAGUAGCGUGAAGGAUGACUGCCCUAUGGGUUGUAAACUUCUUUUAUAUGGGAAUAAAAUGUUCCACGUGUGGGAUUUUGUAUGUACCAUAUGAAUAAGGAUCGGCUAACUCCGUGCCAGCAGCCGCGGUAAUACGGAGGAUCCGAGCGUUACCCGGAUUUAUUGGGUUUAAAGGGAGCGUAGGUGGAUUGUUAAGUCAGUUGUGAAAGUUUGCGGCUCAACCGUAAAAUUGCAGUUGAAACUGGCAGUCUUGAGUACAGUAGAGGUGGGCGGAAUUCGUGGUGUAGCGGUGAAAUGCUUAGAUAUCACGAAGAACUCCGAUUGCGAAGGCAGUUCACUGGACUGCAACUGACACUGAGGCUCGAAAGUGUGGGUAUCAAACAGGAUUAGAUACCCCAGUAGUC
This 460-nucleotide ribosomal RNA is filed under the name uncultured bacterium. RNAcentral's name for it is "partial 16S ribosomal RNA". It matches the Rfam family "Bacterial small subunit ribosomal RNA", at positions 338 to 795 of the family's 1533-position model. The record is from RNAcentral.